AUUGAACGCUAGCGGCAUGCUUUACACAUGCAAGUCGAACGGUAACAGGCCUUCGGGUGCUGACGAGUGGCGAACGGGUGAGUAAUGCAUCGGAACGUGCCCAGAGGUGGGGGAUAACGCAGCGAAAGCUGUGCUAAUACCGCAUGUGAUCUGAGGAUGAAAGCGGGGGACCAAGCAGCAAUGUUUGGCCUCGCGCCUCUGGAGCGGCCGAUGUCAGAUUAGGUAGUUGGUGGGGUAAAGGCCUACCAAGCCGACGAUCUGUAGCUGGUCUGAGAGGACGACCAGCCACACUGGGACUGAGACACGGCCCAGACUCCUACGGGAGGCAGCAGUGGGGAAUUUUGGACAAUGGGCGCAAGCCUGAUCCAGCAAUGCCGCGUGCGGGAAGAAGGCCUUCGGGUUGUAAACCGCUUUUGUACGGAACGAAAAGGCUCUGGCUAAUACCUGGGGCUGAUGACGGUACCGUAAGAAUAAGCACCGGCUAACUACGUG
Molecule: ribosomal RNA, 492 nt
Filed under: uncultured bacterium
Lineage: Bacteria
Description: partial 16S ribosomal RNA
Rfam family: Bacterial small subunit ribosomal RNA
Source: RNAcentral